This 200-nucleotide unclassified non-coding RNA is filed under the name soil metagenome. Its description in RNAcentral is "partial contains internal transcribed spacer 2 and large subunit ribosomal RNA". The record is from RNAcentral.
AUCACUAAUCAAGCCCGGCUUGCUAUUGGAAUUUUUGUCGUUAAAACGGCAGGUCCCAAAGAUAAUGACGGCGUCAGUUGGACCCUAGAUGCAACGAGCUUUAAUCAGCACGCGUUUUAGUUGGUCCUUUUGACCCGGUCUUUUUUAACCAAUUUUAUCAGGUUGACCUCGGAUCAGGUAGGAAUACCCGCUGAACUUAA